GGAUGUAAGGGUGAUCUGGCUGCAACACCUGUCACCCCCAUUGAUCUACAGGGUUGAUUUGGUUGAUCUGGCUGCUUGGCAGAUGUCCCAUUCCUCCCUUACCGCUGCAUGUCCCAUUUCUCCCUCAUUGCUCCAUGUGCAACCCUACUUGAAGCUGCAUGUUUGGUUGAAGAGGACAGCCUUCCCUAAAUAGACAGACUGUUCUUGGUCCAGGGCAUACCAGUAGUUGUACUCCCCUGCACAACCUCCAAACAAGUCUCAUGGUAUAUAGGAUAUAUAGGGUAUCUCCUAUAUGCUCUAGGAGAAUAUAGGGUAGUCAAGCAUCCAAGACUCUAGACACAUUCAAAUGAUGCGUUGCACGUGGCAGUCUGCCUUUCU
This 378-nucleotide small nuclear RNA is filed under the name Sorex araneus (European shrew). RNAcentral's name for it is "7SK RNA (ENSSARG00000017846.1)". It matches the Rfam family "7SK RNA". Rfam says of the family: 7SK was discovered as an abundant small nuclear RNA in the mid-70s but a possible function has only recently been suggested. Lineage: Eukaryota; Metazoa; Chordata; Mammalia; Eulipotyphla; Soricidae. The record is from RNAcentral.